Molecule: non-coding RNA, 710 nt
Organism: Acanthochromis polyacanthus (spiny chromis)
Lineage: Eukaryota; Metazoa; Chordata; Actinopteri; Pomacentridae
Source: the annotation of a RefSeq genome assembly
CUCAUCUGCUCCUCAACAUGCUAACAGGGACUAACGUCCAACAGAAGAUUGAACUGCAGAAAGUUCCCUUUUUAAACCUGUAGAGGGAGGUCUAUGCAAAGAUUUGAUCCUUUAUAAACACACCAUCUGGAAUUGUCAUGUCAUUUGUGACGGAACAAUUUGGACCCACAAACACUCAUAGAAGUUGUUGUUUGACAAUAGAAGAUAUGAUUCUCUGGACUUUAUUCUUUCUAAUUAGUGUUCAUGGAGUCUGGAGUGAGAUCAGACUGGACCAGUCUCCAUCUGAGGUGAAAAGACCUGGAGAGACAGUGAAGAUGUCUUGUAUCACAUCUGGAUUUGACAUGACAGACUACUAUAUUCAGUGGAUACGACAGAGACCAGGACAAGCUCUGGAGUGGAUCGGGGAGAUGAAUGCAGGCACAAACUCUGCCAGCUAUGCCAGCGCCUUCCAGAAUCGUUUCCCGAUGACUGAAGAUGUGUCCAGCAGCACUCAGUACCUCCAGAUCAAGAGUCUGACAGCAGAAGAUUCUGCUGUUUAUUAUUGUGCUCGUAGAGACACAGUGAGUGAAGUCAGUGAAGCAGCUGCACAAAAACCUCCACAGAUGUCAGAUAACAGAGAGACAUCUGAGACAUCAUGGCUGAACUCAAUAAUACUGUAGAUUAUUUAUAAUAUUAUAAAUGCUUUGAAGCCUUUUAUGCUGAAAGUGACU